Molecule: ribosomal RNA, 455 nt
Filed under: uncultured bacterium
Lineage: Bacteria
Description: bacterial SSU rRNA
Rfam family: Bacterial small subunit ribosomal RNA
Source: RNAcentral
UACGGAAGGCAGCAGUGGGGAAUAUUGCACAAUGGGCGCAAGCCUGAUGCAGCCAUGCCGCGUGUAUGAAGAAGGCCUUCGGGUUGUAAAGUACUUUCAGUCGUGAGGAAGGUGUUAAGGUUAAUAACCUUAGCAAUUGACGUUAGCGACAGAAGAAGCACCGGCUAACUCCGUGCCAGCAGCCGCGGUAAUACGGAGGGUGCGAGCGUUAAUCGGAAUUACUGGGCGUAAAGGGCACGCAGGCGGUUAAUUAAGUUGGAUGUGAAAUCCCCGGGCUUAACCUGGGAAUGGCAUUCAAGACUGGCUAGCUAGAGUCUUGUAGAGGGGGUAGAAUUCCAUGUGUAGCGGUGAAAUGCGUAGAGAUGUGGAGGAAUACCGGUGGCGAAGGCGGCCCCCUGGGACAAAGACUGACGCUCAUGUGCGAAAGCGUGGGGAGCAAACAGGGAUUAGAUACC